Molecule: long non-coding RNA, 2050 nt
Organism: Pseudophryne corroboree (corroboree frog)
Lineage: Eukaryota; Metazoa; Chordata; Amphibia; Anura; Myobatrachidae
Exons: 3
Source: RefSeq, a predicted model, not a curated record
CUAACCCACCAGCUGAGACUGCUAAGAGCACGCACAGACCCAACCAUAGGAAAGGAGGACGUCUUUCUAACACUUCUCAUACUAGCUACAAACUAUUUAUAUACUUUUAGCUCAGAAAUCUGCCACGUUGGGAAGCAAACCAACUGAAGUAAGAGGAUGGCCACCCAAGCAGCAAUGAGCACAGAAUCUAAUCAAUGCUCCAGUUUGAGGGGAAAAAAAAUAUCCUAAAUCAACACAGGAUUGUAUACAGAGAGUAGGAGCUGUGUCUAGUCUGUUGCAGAGCCUCAAGGACACUUUGGUAGGGAAGAAAUCAUAGGACCACAUGGAAUAACUCCUGAGUAACAGACAUCUGACGACUUCCGGAAGAAUAAUAAACUAAACAUCUAGCUGGUAUUGGGGCAAUCAGCAGUGAUCAAUCCAGUGCCUAAUAGACCCAUAGGCUGAUCAGGCGCCAGUAACAAGGCACAGUGAUUAUGGGGGCAUUGCAGAUAAGAUUCAUACCCCUUUCACACAGAGGUUUUUACCCAGUAAUUUGCCAGGUCUCUCGGGUUGUUUUCUGUGUAAAAGGGGCAGCCCGGGUCAAAAAUCCUGGGACUACGACCCUGGUUUUUACCUGGCUUGUACCUUUCACAUAGGAGAAAUACCUGGGUUUAUCGGCAGAUUACCAGGUAGAACUGCUUCACCAAGUAAACUGCUUUUCUGUGUGAAAGGGGGGUCUGGCUGCAUUGUCAGUCUACUCCAUGCUGAACAUGGGCAUUACCCUGAACCAGCAGCUCCGGGAUCUGAAGGUAAAUGACACAUGAUGGACUAAUGACACAUAGUGUGGGGCAAGGGUGGAGCAAGUGUUCCAAGCACCAAUGAAAGCUCUGAGAAUUGAGUGUGGAGUUUGAUAAAAAAAAGGAUGUGGAUGUGCAUCGUCUCUGCAUCUCAAUGUACCCAUCUCGCGUACCCAUAUCUGCAGUGCUUCUGUAUCACAGUUUUCCCAUCUCUGCAGUAUUACUGUAUACGCAUCAUUGCAUUGUCUGUGUAUCCUUAUCCUAGCAGUGCCUCGUUAUCUCAGUGCAGCCAGUCCUUGUAGAGUUUCUGUAUCCCACCUCUGCUGUGCAUUGUAUGGCAGUCACAAGGAUGUGUUUUGUUUUGUUUUUUUGCAAAUCAGUCAACAGGAUGCUCUUGGUAUUUGCAUAGCAAGUCGCUAAGGUGGUCUCUUUAUUGUAGGGAGUUCCCUAGAAUGCUCUGUGUGAUAUAUGGCGUUCACCAAAAUGCUCUCUUUGUGUGCCAGUAUCUGAAAAGCACUCAGUAUUUUAUAACUGUUACUGGAUGCUUCUCUGCAUUGUACAUCAGUCUCUGGAAUGCUCUCUGUAUUGUAUAUCAGUCUCUGGAAUCAUCUCUGUAUGGCAUAUUGUUUUCUGAGAUGCUAACUGUAUUUAAACAAUGAGUAUGAUAUGCGCAUAUUAGCCUAGUUACCCUUAAUCUUACCAAGAGCAAGACAGAUAUAUAUUUAAUAUUGCAGUACCUCACAACACUGACAAGGGGUCUCCAAAGUGAAUAAAAGAGAGGCAAUUUAACCAUGCCCAUAGGAAGGGUCUCUACUGUAAGGGAACUUUAAGUGAGGAGUUCCUGACUACGUGAGGUGGUUGUGGGAAAGUCACAAAAAAAACUUAAACAUGGAUUAGAGGUUCUUCUUACAAGAAAUGGUAAAUGUUUCUAUAAUUAAUAGACAAAUAAAGUUUAUUUUUACAUGGAAUUUAUCAGUGCCAAGUAUGGGAUUAAGAAGAAAUAUGGUAAAUUGGCCACUGUUUUUUUUUUUUUCCUUUUUUUUGAAACAGCGCAAUGAGAAUGUGAAACACUCACUUGUCUAUCCUGUAAAAAUCUGUGGUGAGUAAUAUAGUAAAUAUAAACCGGUUUUUACAAUAACUUCAGAACAAUGGGAAACUGGACUGUUAUUAAUGGGAUAAACACUUAUUUAAAAUAAGCAAUUUCCUUACCCCUUUAGAGAUCUAGCAAUUAUGAUCAGACAAUUAGGUCCUGUACUACAUUUUCUUUUAUUCUA